CCUACGGGUGGCAGCAGUCGAGAAUCAUUCACAAUGGGGGAAACCCUGAUGGGGCGACGCCGCGUGGGGGAAUGAAGGUCUUCGGAUUGUAAACCCCUGUCAUGUGGGAGCAAAUUAAAAAGAUAGUACCACAAGAGGAAGAGACGGCUAACUCUGUGCCAGCAGCCGCGGUAAUACAGAGGUCUCAAGCGUUGUUCGGAAUCACUGGGCGUAAAGCGUGCGUAGGCUGUUUCGUAAGUCGUGUGUGAAAGGUGCGGGCUCAACCCGCGGACGGCACAUGAUACUGCGAGACUAGAGUAAUGGAGGGGGAACCGGAAUUCUCGGUGUAGCAGUGAAAUGCGUAGAUAUCGAGAGGAACACUCGUGGCGAAGGCGGGUUCCUGGACAUUGACUGACGCUGAGGCACGAAGGCCAGGGGAGCGAAAGGGAUUAGAUACCCCGGUAGUC
RNAcentral lists this ribosomal RNA (446 nucleotides) under uncultured bacterium. RNAcentral describes it as "partial 16S ribosomal RNA". It matches the Rfam family "Bacterial small subunit ribosomal RNA", at positions 338 to 795 of the family's 1533-position model. The record is from RNAcentral.